Molecule: ribosomal RNA, 142 nt
Filed under: uncultured bacterium
Lineage: Bacteria
Description: partial 16S rRNA
Rfam family: Bacterial small subunit ribosomal RNA
Source: RNAcentral
UGGGGAAUAUUGCACAAUGGGCGAAAGCCUGAUGCAGCGACGCCGCGUGCGGGAUGACGGCCUUGGUUGUAAACCGCUUUCAGCUCUGACGAAGCUUUUGUGACGGUAGGAGCAGAAGAAGCACCGGCUAACUACGUGCCGG